RNAcentral lists this ribosomal RNA (1428 nucleotides) under uncultured delta proteobacterium. RNAcentral describes it as "bacterial SSU rRNA". It matches the Rfam family "Bacterial small subunit ribosomal RNA", at positions 89 to 1464 of the family's 1533-position model. The record is from RNAcentral. Lineage: Bacteria; Deltaproteobacteria.
CAAUAGUGCGCGCUCUGGUGAGUAAUCACGUAGGUGACCUGCCGCUGUUGAUCGGGACAACAGAGAGGAAAUCUUAUGCUAAUACCGGAUAAGCUCAACUGACUUGAAAGAAGUUGAGGAUCGGUGGCCUCUAUUUAUAAGCUAUCACAACAGGAGGCGGCUUGCGGCCCAUUAGCUUGUUGGUGGGGUAACGGCCUACCAAGGCGACGAUGGGUAACCGGUCUGAGAGGAUGAUCGGUCACACUGGAACUGAGACACGUGUCCAGACUCCUACGGGAGGCAGCAGUAGGGAAUAUUGCGCAAUGGGCGACAACCCUGACGCAGCAAUACCGUGUGAGUGAGGAAGGCCUUAGGGUUGUAAAGCUCUGUCGAUAGGGAAAUAAUGAGCAUGGUGCCAAUACCACUGUGCAUUGAUGGUACCUAUGAAAGGAAGCACCGGCUAACUUCGUGCCAGCAGCCGCGGUAAUACGAAGUGGUGCAAGCGUUGUUCGGAAUUAUUGGCGCGUAAAGCGCGCGCAGGCGGAUUGUUAAGUCAGAUGUAGAAAUCUCGGGACUCAACCCCGAAACUGCGUCUGAAACUGGCGAUCUAGAGUGAUGUAGGGGGACGGGGAAUUUCAUGUGUAGGGGUAAAAUCCGUAGAGAUAUGAAGGAACACCUGAGGCGAAUGGCGCCGUCCUGGGCAUUAACUGACGCUGAGCGCGCGAAAGCGUGGGGAGCAAACAGGAUUAGAUACCCUGGUAGUCCACGCCGGUAAACGAUGCACACUAGUUAUUGGGCGGUAUUGACUCCCUCAGUGACGCCAGCUAACGCAUUAAGUGUGCCGCCUGGGAAGUACGGUCGCAAGAUUAAAACUCAAAGGAAUUGACGGGGGCCCGCACAAGCGGUGGAUUAUGUGGUUUAAUUCGAAGCAACGCGCAGAACCUUACCUGGGCUUGAACUCUCUCCGAAUCCCGCAGAGAUGUGGGAGUGCACUUCGGUGAAUGAGAUUGAGAGGUGCUGCAUGGCUGUCGUCAGCUCGUUGUUGUGAAAUGUUGGGUUAAGUCUCGCAACGAGGCGCAACCCCUAUUGUAUAGUUGCCAGCAUUGCGUUGGGCACUCUAACUGAGACUGCCUGGGUUAACCAGGAGGAAUGGUGGGGAUGACGUCAAGUCCUCAUGGCCCUUAUGUCCAGGGCUACACACGUAAUGUGAUGGUCGGUACAAAUGGGAAGCGAACUCGCGAGGGGGAGCCAAUCUCAAAAAACCGAUCUCAGUCCGGAUUGAAGUCUGCAACUCGACUUCAUGAAGUUGGAAUCGCUAGUAAUCGCGGAUCAGCACGGCGCGGUGAAUACGUAUCCCGGGCCUUGUACAACACCGCCCGUCACACCAUGGGAGUUGGUUUCACCUUAAGCCGUCACCUUAACAUUCGAGGAACGCGAGCGUCUACCCUU